RNAcentral lists this ribosomal RNA (1741 nucleotides) under Diaporthales sp. JS-2007a. RNAcentral describes it as "partial 18S ribosomal RNA". It matches the Rfam family "Eukaryotic small subunit ribosomal RNA", at positions 90 to 1482 of the family's 1831-position model. Lineage: Eukaryota; Fungi; Ascomycota; Sordariomycetes; Diaporthales. The record is from RNAcentral.
CGAAUGGCUCAUUAAAUCAGUUAUUGUCUACUUGAUAGCACCUUACUACAUGGAUAACCGUGGUAAUUCUAGAGCUAAUACAUGCUGAAAACCCCGACUUCGGAAGGGGCGUGUUUAUUAGAUACAAAACCAAUGCCCUCCGGGCUCACUGGUGAUUCAUAAUAACCUCUCGAAUCRCACGGSCUUGCGCCGGCGAUGGUUCAAUCAAGUUUCUGCCCUAUCAACUUUCGACGGCUGGGUACCGGCCAGCCGUGGUGACAAYGGGUAACGGANGGUUAGGGCUCGGCCCCNGANAGNCCGCCUGAGAGACGGCGAACACAUCCAAGGAAGGCAGCAGGCGCGCAAAUUAUCCAAUUCCGACGCGGAGAGAUAGUGACGAAACAUACUGAUACAGGGCUCUUUUGGGUCUUGUAAUUGGAAUGAGUACAACUCAAAUCCCUUAACGAGGAACAAUUGGAGGGCAAGUCUGGUGGACCUCCAGUCCCGGGGGGGUGGUGGGGGGCCCCCCUUUGCUGGCGCCAGCAAGAGUAGGGAGCCCGGUGGCGGCGGCGACGCUGCCGGGCCCUCAGACCUGCUAGUCGAGCACCCGCUCAGGGCGGGAGGGUGCCGGCGAGACAACCUGGAUCGGCGAAGGCUAAGGGGCGGAGAGCCCUAUGCUAAUGCCGAGCGGAGCGACCUGGGAGCGAUCCCAGGCCCGCCCGUGUAGAGCGCGGAAAGGUGUCGGCCGCACUGCGGGGGGUUUUCCCCCCCCGGCAGGCGGCUUGAGGGACGUGCCGUACCCCGCGAAAGCGGGUCACCAUCUGGAGCGCCCGCCACGUAAAGGAUGGUGAAGCCACUGGAGCGGUCUCCAGUGGUGGUCAGGGUGCCAAAGACGGCCAGCAGCCGCGGUAAUUCCAGCUCCAAUAGCGUAUAUUAAAGUUGUUGCAGUUAAAAAGCUCGUAGUUGAUCAUCGGGCCUGGCCGCCCGGUCUGCCUCACCGCAUGCACUGGCGCGGCCGGGCCUUCUCCUCUGGGGAGCCGCAUGUCCUUCACUGGUCGUGUCGGGGAACCAGGGCCUUUACUGUGAAAAAAUUAGAGUGUUCAAAGCAGGCCUAUGCUCGAAUACAUUACAUGGAAUAAUAGAAUAGGACGCGUGGUUCUAUUUUGUUGGUUUCUAGGACCGCCGUAAUGAUUAAUAGGGACAGUCGGGGGCAUCAGUAUUCAGCCGUCAGAGGUGAAAUUCUUGGAUCGGCUGAAGACUAACUACUGCGAAAGCAUUUGCCAAGGAUGUUUUCAUUAAUCAGGAACGAAAGUUAGGGGAUCGAAAACGAUCAGAUACCGUUGUAGUCCUAACCAUAAACUAUGCCGACUGGGGAUCGGGCGGCGCUAUUUCUUGGCCCGCCCGGCACCCUGCGCGAAAGCAAAGUGUUUGGGUUCUGGGGGGAGUACGGUCGCAAGGCUGAAACUUAAAGGAAUUGACGGAAGGGCACCACAAGGGGUGGAGCCUGCGGCUUAAUUUGACUCAACACGGGGAAACUCACCAGGUCCAGACACAACUAGGAUUGACAGAUUGAGAGCUCUUUCUUGAUUUUGUGGGUGGUGGUGCAUGGCCGUUCUUAGUUGGUGGAGUGAUUUGUCUGCUUAAUUGCGAUAACGAACGAGACCUUAACCUGCUAAAUAGCCCGCGCCGCUCCGGCGGCACGUAGGCUUCUUAGAGGGACUAUCGGCUCAAGCCGAUGGAAGUUUGAGGCAAUAACAGGUCU